RNAcentral lists this long non-coding RNA (242 nucleotides) under Carica papaya (papaya). RNAcentral's name for it is "long non-coding RNA (CPAP_LNC010137)". The record is from RNAcentral. Lineage: Eukaryota; Viridiplantae; Streptophyta; Magnoliopsida; Brassicales; Caricaceae.
GUUGGUUAGUUUGGGCAGGUGGGGCUGUAGGUGGGGGCAAGGCAGGAAGAAGGGCAAUUUUGGUUCGUUUGUCUGGGAGGUUACUUACUGGUUCAGACAAUCUCUUUCUAAGCUGUUGGGGCUGUUGUUUGGCUCGAGCAAAUCGUUGGUGCUUAGCCGAGAUAAGCUCUUUAGCCAUUGGGCAUGUUCAAGCACCUCUACAUAUGAACUGGGUCUCAGCAUCGCAACUUGGUCAUAAAUGC